CUUUAAUUAGUCUGGGAGAGAUAUUGCAAGUGUUAAUUAAAGUUUGAUGCAAAUUUGUCAUUAAGUGAUUCAUUGUCCUUUAGCCUUUGUGGGGCAAACUGCCAGAUGUGAAAUUCUCGUGUGCUACAGCCCAGUCAAGCUCCCUUCAAGUUCUCCAGGUCUCUGUUCUGAGUUCAGUCAGGCCCAUCAGAACCCUGGUGGGGUGCUUUGGAGCAAUUCAAUGUAAAGAAUGUGUAACCAGACAGCUCUGGUCACUGGAAACCUUCAGUAUUUGAUAAAGGAAAAGAAUGUUUCUUUCCACUUGCUCAAAUAUUGCAAGCAAUAGCAAAUUCUGAGGUGAAGAUAAUUCACCUUUAGGUGCCAGGAGAACAUUGUCUCAAAAAAAGACAAAAAAAAAAAAAAAAGAAUGGGGCGAGUGGGAAGCAGGCUUUGUGCAAUAAAAAGGAAUUGAGAAACUUGAUGGUUGUUGAAGCUACUUUACGUUAUUUUCCUUUAUUGAUGUUUCGUCAUCAGGUGCUGAAUCAGUCCUAUCCUAUAAACUUGUAGAGGUUAUGAACUUCUGAUUGGAGUAGGUGGUAAACAGAGCUUGUCUGAACUGGCAGGAUACAUCUGCUCCCUGGAGGUUUUCCAAAUUACACAGAAGAAACCAAGGCCUCAGGGUAGAUCUUGCCAGUUUGUACAUCAAGACAGGUGCCAAGAACAUGCCCACAGUGUUUUUGCUGACAGAUGCCCAAGUUCCAGAUGAAUGCUUUCUUGUGCUGAUUAAUGACUAGUUUGCAUCAGGAAAGGCUCCAGAUCUGUUCAGUCAUGAAGGUCAUAGUUGCAGGAGUUAGAAAAGAAGUCUGAGCCCUGGGCCUGAUGGACAUCAGAGAACACUCCUGGAGGUGAUUGCUCAGAGUGUGGUGCAGUAGGAAAUAAGACAUAUUUCAGGGGCAAGAAACAGUGAUGAGCUGAUCAAAAUAGCAACACAUUUCAGUUAUCUCAUUACCCAGCAUAUGUUGGCAUACUUCUCUUGAAAGCUUACUGAUG
RNAcentral lists this long non-coding RNA (1029 nucleotides) under Parus major (Great Tit). RNAcentral's name for it is "lncRNA (ENSPMJG00000000318.1)". The record is from RNAcentral. Lineage: Eukaryota; Metazoa; Chordata; Aves; Passeriformes; Paridae.